GAUGAACGCUGGCGGCGUGCCUAAUACAUGCAAGUCGAGCGAACGGACGAGAAGCUUGCUUCUCUGAUGUUAGCGGCGGACGGGAGAGUAAAACGUGGAUAACCUACCUAUAAGACUGGGAUAACUUCGGGAAACCGUAGCUAAUACCGGAUAACAUUUUGAACCGCAUGGUUCAAAAGUGAAAGACGGUCUUGCUGUCACUUAUAGAUGGAUCCGCGCUGCAUUAGCUAGUUGGUAAGGUAACGGCUUACCAAGGCAACGAUGCAUAGCCGACCUGAGAGGGUGAUCGGCCACACUGGAACUGAGACACGGUCCAGACUCCUACGGGAGGCAGCAGUAGGGAAUCUUCCGCAAUGGGCGAAAGCCUGACGGAGCAACGCCGCGUGAGUGAUGAAGGUCUUCGGAUCGUAAAACUCUGUUAUUAGGGAAGAACAUAUGUGUAAGUAACUGUGCACAUCUUGACGGUACCUAAUCAGAAAGCCACGGCUAACUACGUG
RNAcentral lists this ribosomal RNA (497 nucleotides) under uncultured bacterium. RNAcentral's name for it is "partial 16S ribosomal RNA". It matches the Rfam family "Bacterial small subunit ribosomal RNA", at positions 28 to 507 of the family's 1533-position model. The record is from RNAcentral.